RNAcentral lists this unclassified non-coding RNA (251 nucleotides) under Mortierella indohii. RNAcentral's name for it is "partial internal transcribed spacer 2". RNAcentral also lists the same sequence under 1 other name. The record is from RNAcentral. Lineage: Eukaryota; Fungi; Mortierellomycota; Mortierellomycetes; Mortierellales; Mortierellaceae.
AACACCUCAAUUUCAUGAUUCUUAAUUUUGAAAUUGGACUUGAGCAGAUCCCAACGUACAUUUAACUGUGUGGAGGGUUGCUUCAAAUGCAGGUGCAGCCGAUCAUUCUUCUGGGCUAAAAGCAUUAUCUAGUUAAUCCCGUAAAACGGAUUAUUCACUUUAUUGCUGCAGCUUACCCUAUAUAAAAGGAAGACAUGGCCAUUGUGCUGACUGAUGCAGGAAUUCUCAGAGGUCUGUAAAGACUUUUGAAA